RNAcentral lists this ribosomal RNA (825 nucleotides) under Septoria gentianae. RNAcentral describes it as "eukaryotic LSU rRNA". It matches the Rfam family "Eukaryotic large subunit ribosomal RNA", at positions 71 to 925 of the family's 3401-position model. Lineage: Eukaryota; Fungi; Ascomycota; Dothideomycetes; Mycosphaerellales; Mycosphaerellaceae. The record is from RNAcentral.
GGGAUUGCCCUAGUAACGGCGAGUGAAGCGGCAACAGCUCAAAUUUGAAAUCUGGCGCAAGCCCGAGUUGUAAUUUGUAGAGGAUGCUUCUGGGUAGCGACCGAUCUAAGUUCCUUGGAACAGGACGUCAUAGAGGGUGAGAAUCCCGUAUGUGACCGGCCCGCACCCUUUACGUAGCUCCUUCGACGAGUCGAGUUGUUUGGGAAUGCAGCUCUAAAUGGGAGGUAAAUUUCUUCUAAAGCUAAAUAUUGGCCAGAGACCGAUAGCGCACAAGUAGAGUGAUCGAAAGAUGAAAAGUACUUUGGAAAGAGAGUUAAACAGCACGUGAAAUUGUUGAAAGGGAAGCGCCUGCAACCAGACUUCGCGGCAGUGUUCCACCGGUCUUCUGACCGGUUCAUUCUCUGUCGCGAGGCCAUCAUCGUCUCGGCCCGCCAGAUAAGACCUGAGGAAUGUAGCUCACCUUCGGGGGAGUGUUAUAGCCUCUGGUGAUGUGGCGCGGCUGGGGCGAGGUCCGCGCUUCGGCAAGGAUGAUGGCGUAAUGGUUGUCGGCGGCCCGUCUUGAAACACGGACCAAGGAGUCUAACAUCUAUGCGAGUGUUCGGGUGUCAAACCCCUACGCGUAAUGAAAGUGAACGGAGGUGGGAACCGCAAGGUGCACCAUCGACCGAUCCUGAUGUCCUCGGAUGGAUUUGAGUAAGAGCAUAGCUGUUGGGACCCGAAAGAUGGUGAACUAUGCCUGAAUAGGGUGAAGCCAGAGGAAACUCUGGUGGAGGCUCGCAGCGGUUCUGACGUGCAAAUCGAUCGUCAAAUUUGGGUAUAGGGGCG